Molecule: ribosomal RNA, 496 nt
Filed under: uncultured bacterium
Lineage: Bacteria
Description: bacterial SSU rRNA
Rfam family: Bacterial small subunit ribosomal RNA
Source: RNAcentral
GACGAACGCUGGCGGCGUGGAUUAGGCAUGCAAGUCGGACGGUAGAGCUUUAUCGUAAGAUAGAGUUUGAGAGUGGCGAACGGGUGAGUAACACGUAGGAAUCUACCCUUAAGACGGGGACAACCCAGGGAAACUUGGGCUAAUACCGGAUGAGAGUGCGAGAGAUUGCAUUUAAAAGGAUGGCGAAAGUUGUCGCUUAGGGAUGAGCCUGCGGUCUAUUAGUUAGUUGGUGAGGUAAGAGCUCACCAAGGCGAUGAUAGAUAGGCGGCCUUAACGGGUGGUCGCCCACACUGGGAUUGAGAUACGGCCCAGACUCCUACGGGAGGCAGCAGGCUAGAAAUUUGGGCGAAUGGGGGAAACCCGUAGACCCAGUGACGCCGCGUGCAGGAAGGAGCCCUUCGGGUGUAAACUGCUGUCGUGUAGGGAGAAGGGUACUAAGGUGAACAAUCUUAGUACUUGACGGUAACUACAGGAGGAAGCCCAGGCUAACCUCGUG